CUGUGUUCUUUUUUCUAUGGGGAGAGAAAAUUUUCUGGAUGUCUAUUUUUUCCCUUUGUUUCUUCCUUACCCGAGAAACUCCAUGCAAAGCCAUCGAAAGAAAAAUGCAAACACAAACCCUCCCAAAAACCCCGACUAGACUACACAUGCACCGACAAGUGCUCUCACGACACACACACCCCAGUGGAGGAGCUGGCAGCCACAAACAGGCACCAGGAAUCACCUAACGCAGAGGGGACGAAUAUAGAUUUGAAACAUAGUUGCAGCUCAUGCUUCCUAUGCUUUCAACAAUUAUUAUCAAAAGAAUAACAUGGCACCCAGAACCUGUGAUUUUGGGGGCAAUGCAAUCAUCACUCAGACCAAUCCCAGUAAGUAACAAGUCUUCCGACUUCUUUCAUUUUCCCCAUGCGCUCCAUGUAUCUCUGUAGAAAGUAGAAAUUUUCAAUAUUCAGACCAAUCCCAGUAAGUAACAAGUCUUCCGACUGCUUUCAUUUUCCACAUGCGCUCCAUGUAUCUCUGUAGAAAGUAGAAAUUAUCAGUAUUCUUGUAUGUAAAAUUUUGUUGGGAGGCCAAACAAGGUAUGGGCAUUACAAAAAGGUAUUAAAGUAGAGGGAAUGGCCACCCAGGGGACUAGAAAAGAAUAAGUCUGAAUCGGGGUUGUAUGUAUGUAGCUCAAUUCAUAUCUACAGUGGUUGUAACUGGCUAAAUUUGGCACAUUUGUUAUAUUUUGCAAUCAGUGUCAGGACAUUGAUCAAAAACCAAAAUAUGUUUGUUGUAUAUGAGCCCAAGAAGGUCAUAAUCUUGCUGCUAUCGAAGACAAACCCUAGGUGAUUCAAGACAACUUUCUUAUUUGUAAAUUGCGGAGCAACUCUUAGACAAUUUUCAAGCUCAAAUAUUAUGAUGGAUUCUUAUUGGCCUCGUGUUUGAUUUAUAUGACAUUUUUGUAAGAAAUAAAAAUCUCGGAAGGAGUACUAUCCAGUAGGUGGUUGCAAUUGCUUCUACUGUGUUGGAUAACUUCAAAGUAGAAGCUUAAAAAAUGGUGGUAUCCCAUGGAAUGGGCAUUUGUUCCCCCUCAACACUUCAUUCGGCUUGUUCAAAGGUAAUUUGCUAUGCCAACGUGAGAAGAAUUAGAUAUUUAAGGCAACUGGAUAAUGCAUUUUGUCCUCUGUUUUAAAGGUCUAAGAAUAUGUCUGGAAUUGUCAGCAGGUGUGAACUUCAUUUUGAAUAUUUAUUAGCUUAUUUGCCA
Long non-coding RNA from Cryptomeria japonica (Japanese cedar), 1246 nucleotides. RefSeq lists it as uncharacterized. The record is from RefSeq and is a predicted model, not a curated record. Lineage: Eukaryota; Viridiplantae; Streptophyta; Pinopsida; Cupressales; Cupressaceae. The transcript is spliced from 2 exons.